Molecule: ribosomal RNA, 565 nt
Filed under: Rhodotorula mucilaginosa
Lineage: Eukaryota; Fungi; Basidiomycota; Microbotryomycetes; Sporidiobolales; Sporidiobolaceae
Description: eukaryotic LSU rRNA
Rfam family: Eukaryotic large subunit ribosomal RNA
Source: RNAcentral
AAACUAACAAGGAUUCCCCUAGUAGCGGCGAGCGAAGCGGGAAGACGCUCAAAUUUAUAAUCUGGCACCUUCGGUGUCCGAGUUGUAAUCUCUAGAAAUGUUUUCCGCGUUGGACCGCACACAAGUCUGUUGGAAUACAGCGGCAUAGUGGUGAGACCCCCGUAUAUGGUGCGGACGCCCAGCGCUUUGUGAUACAUUUUCGAAGAGUCGAGUUGUUUGGGAAUGCAGCUCAAAUUGGGUGGUAAAUUCCAUCUAAAGCUAAAUAUUGGCGAGAGACCGAUAGCGAACAAGUACCGUGAGGGAAAGAUGAAAAGCACUUUGGAAAGAGAGUUAACAGUACGUGAAAUUGUUGGAAGGGAAACGCUUGAAGUCAGACUUGCUUGCCGAGCAAUCGGUUUGCAGGCCAGCAUCAGUUUUCCGGGAUGGAUAAUGGUAGAGAGAAGGUAGCAGUUUCGGCUGUGUUAUAGCUCUCUGCUGGAUACAUCUUGGGGGACUGAGGAACGCAGUGUGCCUUUGGCGGGGGUUUCGACCUCUUCACACUUAGGAUGCUGGUGGAAUGCUUUAA